UAAUGAUAGCAUUUACCUCCCAAGGUUGCACCAGUUAGAUGGAUGGAGUGAAGAGGCUAGAGUCAGGUGGAGCUUGGUUUAAAUCUAGCCUUAGACGCUUACCAGUUAUAUGAUCCUGGGUUCACAAGUCUUUAACCUUCCAAAUGAGCAUGAUGCCUGUACUUAUCACCAUCACAUCUAAUAAUUAGAAAUCGCUCAAGAAAGAAGGAGGAGGGGGAAGAUAAUCACCCCAAGGUCCUAAAGCACAAGACAGGUCCUCCAGGAAUUAACCCAUGAUCUUGACAACUCAGCCAUAUGAAGAUAGAUGGAUAAAGGCAGAGUACCAAACCAGCUGCUAUUUGACUGUGGGAAAAUUCCAAGCCAGAGAAACAUUUAUAAGGACACUGUUGGGAAGCCCAGCAGCAAAUAGAUCAACUUGGCAGGCAACCAUCAGAAUUGUGGAUCCAUCUUGUCAUCUGCAGAUGAAAAAAUCACCACAUAAAGACAAUUACAGUCAACUCCUGAUUAUUUACCAAGUGGUUAUAAAGCUAUUGAAAAAGCAACAUGGUAUGGUGAAGAACAUAGUAGAUUUGUGUUUAAGAAUACCUCGGUUCAAAUUCUACCACAGACAUUUAUAAGGUGUGUGACAUAUGGAAAAUCAUUUUGUUUCUCAGUUCUUCAGUUGUAAAUUGGAUGGUGGGGGUAAUGUUAUCCCAUACUCAUCAAGUUGUUGUGAGGAUGAAAACAUCACAUAUAUAAAGUUCAUUGCAAACCCUAUGGUACUAUAUAAAUGUGAAGUAUACCAUUUGUGUAGUAUACUAAUUUAGAUGUUCAUCUCUGUUGCUCCUCCUGUCCUGAUUGAUUACUAUUCUUAUCUAUUUCAUUGCCCAAUCACCCCUCUACUAAUGGGGUGAAGAGACAACACAAGAGGAUUAAGCUCACAUCACUCACUUUGCCAGUGAUGACUCUGGUCUAGGAAGGAAGAGGAUGAACAUUUAAAGCUAUGGACUAGAAUAAUUAAGGAAGUAUCUGAGCAUUCCUUUUUCUAAUGAUCUGCCAUUCCCAUUGCCAUGGAUGAUUCUGAAAUGACCACACAUAUAAAAUGUAAGUAAUGCUAGAUAUUCAAUUACUAAGAAGCAUUACUAUAUCUUGGUCAGAGUUGUAUUGUAGUUAUGGUAUGUGGAAAACAGUGAUGAUGAAAGGUAAUAAAUAACCAGAGAAGGUACCUUUGGCA
Molecule: long non-coding RNA, 1213 nt
Filed under: Monodelphis domestica (gray short-tailed opossum)
Lineage: Eukaryota; Metazoa; Chordata; Mammalia; Didelphimorphia; Didelphidae
Description: lncRNA (ENSMODG00000046123.1)
Source: RNAcentral